UAUGUAAUUCUGUCUGUGCUCACUCGAAUAACUACUAAUUAUGUUCUAGCAUAAUAAAUAAAAAUUUCUGCUCAAGUUGACAAGUAUAUAUACAUGUAUGUAUACAUAUAUGUAUUUAUACGAGCCUUAAAAGAAGAAAACAAAUUUUAUUGUCUUCCUUCUAAUAUUACUGAUGAGUAACUGCCAAUAUCAUAUGUAACAAAAACUGGGCACAGCUAUCAUCUAGUAACAAAGCCUUGAAAUAUAUAAAACAAUAUUUUCAGAACUAAAAUGAGAAAUAGACAAAUCCAUAAUCAUAAGGGGAGAUUUUGGCACUCCUCUUUUAGUAAAGAAUAUAAAUAGAAUGAAUAGACCAAAAAAUAGUAAAAACAUAAGGGUUUGAAGAACAUGAUUAACAAACUUGAUCUAAUUGAUACACGCAUGUUGAAAACUGAUACCCAACAAGAGCAGACUAGAAUUUUUUUUCAAGUACAUGUUCUAUAGAAUUUUAUUUAAAAAUUUGACCAUAUGCUUGACCAUAAAGGAAGCCUUAACAAAGAUUAAGAAACUGAAAUAAUAUGGAAUAU
Molecule: long non-coding RNA, 566 nt
Filed under: Homo sapiens (human)
Lineage: Eukaryota; Metazoa; Chordata; Mammalia; Primates; Hominidae
Description: non-protein coding lnc-LRRC1-6:1
Source: RNAcentral